RNAcentral lists this transfer RNA (73 nucleotides) under Stegodyphus mimosarum. RNAcentral's name for it is "tRNA-Thr for anticodon CGU". It matches the Rfam family "tRNA". Rfam says of the family: Transfer RNA (tRNA) molecules are approximately 80 nucleotides in length. Their secondary structure includes four short double-helical elements and three loops (D, anti-codon, and T loops). The record is from Rfam by way of RNAcentral. Lineage: Eukaryota; Metazoa; Arthropoda; Arachnida; Araneae; Eresidae.
GCCUUCGUGGUGUAGUGGUCAGCACGCUCGACGCGUAUUCGAGAGGUCCGUGGUUCGAGUCCCAGCGAAGGCG